Molecule: ribosomal RNA, 494 nt
Filed under: uncultured bacterium
Lineage: Bacteria
Description: partial 16S ribosomal RNA
Rfam family: Bacterial small subunit ribosomal RNA
Source: RNAcentral
GACGAACGCUGGCGGCGUGCCUAAUACAUGCAAGUCGAACGGUUUAGUUCCAAGAGGCUUGCCUUUUGGAACUAGACAGUGGCGGACGGGUGAGUAACACGUAGGCAACCUACCUGUCAAACCGGGAUAACCUCGGGAAACCGAAGCUAAACCCGGAUAAGCUCCUUUUUCGCAUGAAGGGGGAGUGAAAAGGUGCGACCUGAUGACAGAUGGGCCUGCGGCGCAUUAGCUAGUAGGUAGGGUAACGGCCUACCUAGGCGAUGAUGCGUAGCCGACCUGAGAGGGCGUACGGCCACACUGGGACUGAGAUACGGCCCAGACUCCUACGGGAGGCAGCAGUAGGGAAUCUUCGGCAAUGGGCGAAAGCCUGACCGAGCAACGCCGCGUGAGUGAGGAAGGCCUUCGGGGUGUAAAACUCUGUUGUUUGGGAAGAAGGGAAAGGGUAGGACCCUUAGGUGACGGUACCAAACGAGAAAGCCCCGGCUAACUACGUG